CCUACGGGAGGCUGCAGUGGGGAAUAUUGGACAAUGGGCGAAAGCCUGAUCCAGCCAUGCCGCGUGUGUGAAGAAGGCCUUCGGGUUGUAAAGCACUUUCAGUGGGGAAGAAAGCCUUGGGGCUAAUACCCUCGAGGAAGGACAUCACCCACAGAAGAAGCACCGGCUAACUCCGUGCCAGCAGCCGCGGUAAUACGGAGGGUGCGAGCGUUAAUCGGAAUUACUGGGCGUAAAGCGCGCGUAGGCGGUCUGAUAAGCCGGUUGUGAAAGCCCCGGGCUCAACCUGGGAACGGCAUCCGGAACUGUCAGGCUAGAGUGCAGGAGAGGAAGGUAGAAUUCCCGGUGUAGCGGUGAAAUGCGUAGAGAUCGGGAGGAAUACCAGUGGCGAAGGCGGCCUUCUGGACUGACACUGACGCUGAGGUGCGAAAGCGUGGGUAGCAAACAGGAUUAGAUACCCCUGGUAGUC
This 466-nucleotide ribosomal RNA is filed under the name Vreelandella stevensii. RNAcentral's name for it is "partial 16S ribosomal RNA". It matches the Rfam family "Bacterial small subunit ribosomal RNA", at positions 338 to 795 of the family's 1533-position model. Lineage: Bacteria; Pseudomonadati; Pseudomonadota; Gammaproteobacteria; Oceanospirillales; Halomonadaceae. The record is from RNAcentral.